This 62-nucleotide transfer RNA is filed under the name Trombonia linearis. RNAcentral's name for it is "tRNA-Asp". The record is from RNAcentral. Lineage: Eukaryota; Metazoa; Arthropoda; Insecta; Hemiptera; Cicadidae.
AAAGAAUUAGUUUAAAAAAAACUUUAAUUUGUCAAAUUGGUAAUACUGUAAGGUAUUCUUUU